Molecule: ribosomal RNA, 693 nt
Filed under: Triticum aestivum (bread wheat)
Lineage: Eukaryota; Viridiplantae; Streptophyta; Magnoliopsida; Poales; Poaceae
Description: partial small subunit ribosomal RNA
Source: RNAcentral
AUGAUGCCACGGCAACAUAUCGGUUAUCCGGUAGCCCACAGGGAUACCGGUGCAAAAGGAAGUGAAGGGAGCGUGUCAUGCCAGGAUGGUGGGGUGCUCCCGAUUACGGGGUUCCCACAUGUCGGUGGCAAGGCAAAGGAAGGGCAACAUGCACCGAACAACUCCGACACGGAGCAAACACGAGAAUUUCAUACAACAUAUGCAUUCGGUCCACGGGUCAUCGUCUCGGCGGUUAUACCUUCGAAGGGUGCAUUAUCGGAAUGGAUCAAGUUCGUAGAGGGAAGUAGGCGUUCUCGCGACGGCGAUAGUGGGAGUAGUCGUUCAUGUUCGUUCGGAGAGGGAAAGAAAACAAUGGCAGCAGCAGGCAUCGCAGACAUCGGGCGUGGUCGCCUGCAGACGGCCGGAGAUGCAGCAGUAAAAGCAAAACGGCGGUGGCUCCCGAAACUAGACAGCGCGUGGAGGGAGGAGCUCGAGGACGCAAGCGGGGCAGUGGUGCUGGCGAUGGUCGAGGACGACGAAAAGGAUGGUGCUCUGGGCGCUGGACAGGAGGUCGAGCUGCGAGGCCAUGAGAGACGCGGCGCGAAGGACUCGGGCUCCUGGCGCGAGCGGGAACGGGAAGACCGGCGCGGCUCCGGGGUAGCGUGCAGAGGAAGGAGUAGCUCCGGCAGUGGCGGUCGCUGGCAGGCGCAGUAG